Molecule: small RNA, 4125 nt
Filed under: Olea europaea subsp. europaea
Lineage: Eukaryota; Viridiplantae; Streptophyta; Magnoliopsida; Lamiales; Oleaceae
Source: RNAcentral
UUAGUGGACACUACUAAGGAAAAAGGAAAAGGAAAUUAAAUCUUAUUUAUUGUAGCGUGCACUCACCAAAUAGAGAAGGCGGAUAUAGCAACCUCUGCAUUACUCAUGUAUCCGGCCAAUAAGACUAGAAUAGAAUUGUACCACAACUCUAAGCUACAAAGCAAGCCAAGAGAAGAAAUAAGUAAAAAUAGUUUUACACCAAAAUUAUGUAUGCAUCCGCAAACUUCCUCUCUCUCUAUCAGUGCAGCAGUGCAAUUGUCUUGAAAAUCACUUUUGAGUUCAUUUUAAUUUUUAAGCUUAGUACUUAAUUUGUGAAAAUAUAUAAUAAAACAUAUUCUUUGACAUAUAGCUGAUAACAAGGAAGAUGAUUUACCAAACCAUAAUGCCAGAGGAUAUCGAGAGCUUUAUUACAGGCAAUAUAUCCUUGAAAGCGGCCGUGCUGAAUCCUGUCCAAGUUUGAGGGCACCAUCCACCAAAUAUGUAUGCAAAUUCUCCAAACACAACAAACCAGGAUGAUAUGCAUAGUGCACCCAUCGCCCCAUCAACUCCCCAGUUCAAAUGGUUAACAAACAGCCAGGACAAGGGAACGUGUAUUAUAAUUUGCAGAAUGGAUAUCCAGGCAACAAAAUUGUUCUUUUGCUGCGCUUGUAGAUACAUUUGCAUCGUCAAUGUAAAAACAAAAUUGUAGACCAUCGGAAUAAACCACCACGAGAUGUACCCUGCUGAUCUGGCAAUGCCUUCUUCCUCACCGAGUAGUCUAAAGAGGGGCAUCCCAAAGAUAAAAAUAGGGAGAAAGAUAGUCGAAGUUAUGAAAUCAACAAUCCAUGAUCUUUGCAAAUAAAUACCCAUCAUAUGGUACUGUCUUGCUCCAUAUGCUUGUCCACAAAGUGUUUCAGUUGCACUUGACAUGCCUAUCUGUAGCAUGGAAAUUAUAACAUUUUAAAAUUUGGUACAAAUUCUAUUGCAUAGCCCAGAUCCAAGUGCCAAACUUCCAUUAAAUAAAUUGGUCGAGAGGUUUCCAUAUUCCAAUGUGGGAAUGGAAACUUUCCAUUUUUCAAGUUGAACACGUACAUAUUCGGUUUUAAUUUCUCAUUCAUCCAAACGUGGUUUUGAGAUAAACAAAUUAUAACAUGAACAUCUCCUCAUAGAGGAGAACGCAUAUGUCCUGAGAUAACAAAAUCAGGUAAUGGGACUCACUCGCUACAUAAACUAAACCAUUUUUCCAACAUUAUAUGCAUCUGUCUUUAUUGAAAUGGCAGAUUCUUUAGUCUCAGUCUGCUAUAACCGCCUCUUGCAGACCUUAUAAAUUUUCCAAGACUUGCACUGGGCUGACAUUUUAUCAUGUAAGUGCAUCGACCUUGAUUUUACCUCAAAUUAACCAGCAAGAUUUAGCAAAUUUACGAACAAUAAAUGAAAGGACAUAGAACAAGAAGUUACCAGUAUUCCAUUGAUAAACCGCACGCUAAGAGUUUGAACAAGUGCAUAACCAGCAAGAUCUAAUGAAUUUAAGUGUCCAAUAAAUGAUUGUGUCACUAUUAUGGUUCCGAAUGAAGCCACUCGCGCUAUAAUUCCAGGCAAUGCUACCCUCCAUAUCUUCUUGGAUUCUUCGUAAACCUUCCCUUUCAGACCGCCCACUUCUUUUCCUUCCGAACCAGAACGAAGCAGUCUCUCUUGAAUGCCAUUAUCCAUGGCUCUACAAUGACGAGAAAUCAAAAACUCAUCAAAAAAAUUUAUUCAACUCUCCAAAAAAGCCUAUUAUGUUAUAUUUCAUAAGGAUGCACAUUUCUAUGCUAAGGUGAUAACUUACUUAAAUGCCUCGAUUUGAAGUCAUAAACAAUAUCAGUUUCAUCAUGAGUGAAGUAUCCUGUUUUCUGUAUAAAUGCACAAUCAAACGGCUUCCAUUUAUACAAACCAUUCCAGUACUUGAUACUAUAUCAAAUUAUCAAGAGUUUCCUAAGGAUCAGUUCUAUGUUUUAGGAAUGAUUUCUCAUCAUUAUUUUCCUCCUAAUUUAUUUUCAUUACAGGUAGAGCUCCAUAUUAAGUUGUUAGAAGAAUGAAUUUCCCACAUAAAAGAGCCAUUUGUCCAGGUAUCAGAACCAAACGAAAUCAAUUUCCAGAGUUUGAUUAAUCUUAACUUGAAUAUACAAUAGUAAACGUCUUUCUACACUCUUUGGCGGCAUAAAUAUGUUUAAAGAAUUUUUUACUCAUCAGCCCCGAAGUCAAGAUUUAAAGAAGCAACAAAGUAGUAUUUCCCAUUUCCCGUUACAGUACUUUUAGCGUAUGCUACACAAAUCAUUUUUAUCAUUCCGUUCAAUUCAUUGUUGAAUAUAUGGGAAGAUGCAAAAUUGAAGUAAAGGGAAAAAUAUUAGCAUAAAGCUGCUCGAACAGGGCCAUUAUAGGGGGGCGAUGUCGGGGGGUGGGGGUGCCACAUCGGCCCUGGACGAACAGGGCUGAAGUGGCCUGUCUGUCUAGCACGGUUGAAAAUGUUAUGGCCAAGGUGAGUCUCACUUGAUAUUUCAAACUUUAUUAUCAAUCUUUAUUCAUGUUAUCAUGUUUAGGCUAGAAAACCAGAUCUGGUGCAUUCCCCAUUGCACUUAGCACUUCCCUGACUCAAAAGUUUGAACAUAUACAUAUUUGAUUGAGUAGUGACUGGAGAGUAAAGUAGAUGUUCAAGAAAAUUCUGAAGACCAUGACCUUUUUCCAGAAAAAUAAAAUUAAAUAAAUAAAUAAAUAAGAGAAAGAUCAACACCAACAGCAAUAGUGGCCCAUAUCCAAGGGUUAAUCUUUAGACAGAGGAAAUGCAGCCUUUUCAAAUGGAUACUUUAAAAUGGAGUAAAUUUUCUGGAUACUGUGCUUACUGUUGUAAGACUUUUUGGGCUUUGGGUUGUUUGACAGAGCUGUUCUUUCAAGAUUCUCUAAGCCAAUUUUUAUCAUGAGCCAUACAAAAAUAAUUACUACAAAAUCAUAAAGAAAUAAAUUAAGGGGAAAAUAAGGAUAACAAAAAAAUCUCACAAAGUUUGCUCAAGAUUUACAUCUGAUAAUCGAAAGGUUAAAAAAAAAACAGUCGGUUUAGUUUACAUUACAGAGCAAGGCAGAAGGAAAAUGUUUGAAGAUAAUGAACUGUCCAGCAGUACUUCUUGAUCAAACUUGUUGCUGCUAUAUUCCAAAGUUUUAAUUGUCUUUUGCCAAAUUCCUGUGCAGGCCGAGAAUUUUUAUUUAUUUAUUUAUUUAUUUUCACACAAGACGCAUAUAAUUAUUUUCAUUAAAAGACCUGAACGAGAUUUGAGUUCAUGAUCUCUGUCUAAAAGACUAAAUAGUAAGAGAGUGAACGCGAAAUCAAAUUUGUCAGUCUGAGAUCGAUAACUAACCAGAAACACACACAGGGACUUGAUUUAAUGAAAUCAAAAGGAAUAUCAAAUAAAUAAAACCAGUUAUAAUAGAGAAAAAUUUAGCAGACGACAUAUAGAUAUACAUAUAUUAGAUUACAGAAGUGAUCGCAGAGAGGGAACUUAUUACUUACUUGAUUGUGUUUCGAGUUUCUAAACAAGAAUUGCUUCAACCCAAAUCCUCAAGAGUUGACCUAAAAACUCUUUCUGUACUUUUGUGGCUGCAUAUGUGAUUCUUGAACACACUGAUACUCCUCUCUCUCUCUCUCACUCUCACUCGCACACAGAAUUUUGACAUAUAACAGAUCACCUAUAGUAGUUUUUAUUAAAAAUAAUAGAAAAAGCUGAAACGUGUUGACAAACAACAGACAACUAAUUCUUGAAUGCAUGCUAGUGUCUAUAGGCUACCUACCACCUUCUACCUCAUGUUUUCUAUUUCAAAUUCCUCUUUUGAUCUCCGUUGGAGAAUAAUGUUAUUUAACACCCGUUAAUAACAUUAUAUGAUACAUUUAAUUAAGAGUGAAAUUAUAUGAUUUAUUUAAUUGUAUUUUUCAUUUAAUGACAUUUAUUUUCAUCUAAAUUGAAAUUGUAAUAUUAAUGAUGCUAAAUAGUAUUACACUAAACAAUAAAUUGCAUGUGUAUAUAAUUGUAAAUAAUGACUUGUUACUUAUGUACGUAAAAUAAAAAAUGACAUUUUUCCACUUAAAUUUCAACUUUUGGAACUUUUGAUUGUCAUUUU